GAUGAACGCUGACAGAAUGCUUAACACAUGCAAGUCUACUUGAACUUCGGUUUGGGUGGCGGACGGGUGAGUAACGCGUAAAGAACUUGCCUCACAGUUAGGGACAACAUUUGGAAACGAAUGCUAAUACCUGAUAUUAUGAUUUUAGGGCAUCCUAAAAUUAUGAAAGCUAUAUGCGCUGUGAGAGAGCUUUGCGUCCCAUUAGCUAGUUGGAGAGGUAACGGCUCACCAAGGCGAUGAUGGGUAGCCGGCCUGAGAGGGUGAACGGCCACAAGGGGACUGAGACACGGCCCUUACGCCUACGGGAGGCAGCAGUGGGGAAUAUUGGACAAUGGACCAAAAGUCUGAUCCAGCAAUUCUGUGUGCACGAUGACGUUUUUCGGAAUGUAAAGUGCUUUCAGUUGGGAAGAAAAAAAUGACGGUACCAACAGAAGAAGAGACGGCUAAAUACGUG
RNAcentral lists this ribosomal RNA (454 nucleotides) under uncultured bacterium. RNAcentral describes it as "partial 16S ribosomal RNA". It matches the Rfam family "Bacterial small subunit ribosomal RNA", at positions 28 to 507 of the family's 1533-position model. The record is from RNAcentral.